Molecule: long non-coding RNA, 1067 nt
Filed under: Callithrix jacchus (white-tufted-ear marmoset)
Lineage: Eukaryota; Metazoa; Chordata; Mammalia; Primates; Cebidae
Description: lncRNA (ENSCJAG00000075582.1)
Source: RNAcentral
CUCUACUAAAAAUACAAAAUUAGCCGGGUGUGGUGGUGCACGCCGGUAAUCCCAGCUGCUCGGGAGGCUGAAGCAAGACAAUGGCUUGAACCCGGAGGCAGAGGUUAUGGUGAGCUGAGACCCUGCCAUUGCACUCCAGCCUGGGCAACAAGAGCUAAACUGCAUCUCAAUUAAAAAAAAAAAAAAAAAACAACAGUACAGUGAGUGACUAAGUGUUCUAAAUAAAUAAAUAAAUAAAAGCAACAAUCCAUGGAAGAGGUAGACCUUAAAGAUGAGUGGGAUUUGAUCGGAAAACAGUAAAGGCAGAAAUCAGCAUCUCAUCACUGACAACUAUUUAUUAAGCACCUCCAUGUGUUUGGCCAUUAAAUUAAAGUUUUGGGGAUAAAGAGAUGGAAAAUCUUCUUAUUGUCUUUCACCUAAAUACUCUGUGUUUGGGAAAGGCUUAAACAGAUAGCAAAAGACACAGCGACACAAAGAAGCACGCAAUACACAGAGCAAGAGUUUCAGGUAUUCUAAAAAUGCAGGGAACGUAUCCCUGGGACAGAGAGUGAGCAGUUUACAUAGAUCAAAGGGCUCACUCAUGAGAACAACAGCCUUCUCUAAGCCAGGCACUGAAUACUAUGGCUACAAAGAGCUCAGAGUCAACAAGAGGAACCAGGAACUCUAACAUGAUGUGUGGAGCAGGUUAUGAAAAGAGGGGCACCUCUCCCAGUCAGAAGCAUCAGAGAAGGCUUCCUGGUGGCGAUUUGGUGUUCAUAAAACAACCUAUUAAAGAAGUGGUAGAAGAAAGUGAAAGUUUUCACAGUGGAUUAUGUGAAACACAACUAAUGAAACCAGCCAGAGUUCCGGAGUUCUUUUUUUCCCCAGACUUCUCACCAGCCAAAGUUUCACUCUUGUUACCCAGUCUGGAGUGCAAUGGUGCAAUCUGGGCUCACUGCAACCUCCACCUCCCAGGUUCAAGUGAUUCUCCUGCCUCAGCCUUCCAAGUAGCUGGGAUUACAGGUAUGAGCCCCCACACCUGGCUAAUUUUUUUUAUUUUUAGUAGAGGAGAGGUUCCACCAUGUUGA